GUUUAUAUAUAUAUUUUAGUAAAGUUUAUAGAAUAGUUUAUAACAAUAGAUAGUUUUUAAUUAUCUUUUUUAUUAUUUAUUAUUUAAUAAUUUGAUCUGCACAUAUUGAACCGUUUUCACCAUUCGAUCUGCUUGAUCUACAUGAUCUGCACUUGUCCUACAUGAUCUGCAUAUUCUGUAUAUGUCCUACAUGAUCUGCAACGCUUGAACUACUUUUACCAUUCCAAACUAUAAUUUCUCUCCAAAACAUUAUAGUGUGGAUUUGACUUGUAUACCCCAACCGAAAUCCAAUUUUUACAGUCAAAACCUGGAUUUAUUCGACCCACAUCCGACCCAUCUCUCCCAAACGGAUAUUUCUCUAGAUCUAUUCGGUUUUUCUCUUUCAAAACUGAAACUUCAAGUUUCGAAACUGUAAACUUUUUGAUUUCUUUUCCAAACGCCUCUCUCUCAAUCUUCUCCGUUUUCUUCUCAACAUUCUCAACAAGAACCCUAAUCUCUCUUCUCAACAUUCCGAGUCUCACCCUAACCCUAACUGUACCCAUAGAGAAUUCUAAUGCCGCCUCUAAAGAAGAAAAUUAGGUUAAAGAGGAGGAGAGGAGUAGGAACGACGGAGGAGCCGACAACAAAGCCAAUCGAUGGGGGAACGAUGGAGGAGCCGACAACGACAGAGGAGCCAUCAUCGACGGAGCAAAAUCCAAAAUUGAGGGAGGAGGAGUUGAAGAACAAUCCCGACCAUCAGUCCGGUUUUAGAGGCAAUGGAAGAAGGGAAGUCUGACAAGAAUGAGGAAGAAGAGAGUGAAGAAAAUCAAGCUUUCAACUCGGUUCUAUAUUCACGAAGUGUUGACUACAUUAGAUAAGUUGCAGCCUGCAAUGAGCAAGUCUGAGAGGGCAUGGUUUGAGAACCAUCUGAGUUUCCAACACAUCUUCCACAUGCCAAGAGACCCAAACCACCGACUUAUGGGUAUGUGGAUGCUCCUUCUUCGCACGGCGCACAUUAAAAGGAAGAAAGAACCGUGGUUCAUCGUCAAUGGCGUUUCAAUCCGAUAUGGUAUAUCGGAACACGCAUUGAUAUCGGGCUUCAAUUGCAAGAACUAUGGAUUUAUACACUUGGGUAUAAAAAUCAGGGAAAACUUGGAUUUCAAGAAGAAGCAUUUCAAGAAUAUUGUUGUGAAACACGAAGACGUGAGAGAGAAGCUCAUAGGAAUGGUACCGUUGGGUGAAAGAUCAAAAGAAAGGUUGAGGAUGAUGGUUUUGUAUUUCUUAAGCAACAUUAUCAUAGCGCCUAUCAAGACCGGGGAUAAGGCACCUCAAGUGGAUGAAUUUUGCCUCAAGGCUGUGAGUGAUCUCACAUUUUGUAGGAAUUUUCAGUGGGGGAGGUAUUCUUUCGAUUACAUGUUAGGAAACAUCUCACACCCAGUGAAUCAUUUUAAUGGUUCAGUCACCAACAACGAAAAGUACAUAUGGCCAGUUCCGGGUUUCUUUCUUUCGAUGGAGGUUAGUUACAACUUAUAUUAAUAGGUGAUUGUUAGCAAUACUGGUAAUACUGUGGAAUACUAUUUGUUAUUAAAAAUUCUUUUCUUAUUCUUUAGCUUCUUGCAUUCGAGGCAAUCCCACAAUUGAGAAAAAAAAUUAUUGAGGAAAUUGCAGGACCAGAUCAGGGAUGUCCUAGGAUGUGCAAGGUGAGGUUCAAGAAGAGAAGGACCAAAAGAAGAAUGGUGAUCCGAAUGAGAAGGAUGGUAAUCAAGAGAAAGAUGGUGAUCAAGAGGAGGAUAGUGUCCCGAAAGAGAAGGAUCAAGAGAAAGAUGGUGUCCCAAAAGAGAAUGACCCGAAACAGAAGGAUGGUGAUCCUUCGAAACCCGUGGAAGCAAAAUUCACAAAGAGGACCAUUCAGAGUACCAAGAUUUGAAUCUUUUUGUUUUGUUU
Molecule: small RNA, 1923 nt
Filed under: Arabidopsis thaliana (thale cress)
Lineage: Eukaryota; Viridiplantae; Streptophyta; Magnoliopsida; Brassicales; Brassicaceae
Description: ATSL085580
Source: RNAcentral